This is a non-coding RNA of Caenorhabditis elegans, 21 nucleotides long. Lineage: Eukaryota; Metazoa; Nematoda; Chromadorea; Rhabditida; Rhabditidae. The record is from Ensembl.
UUUUUAUAUUAACGAAAAAAG